GUUAAAUCAAAAUAACUCGUGUCUUGUCCAGCAAAGGAAACCCAACUGAUUCAAAAGCAACAAAUAAAGAUUUUAAAAUUCUUUGAUACCUCUAUAAAACUAAUCCAGCACAUGAAUGUAAUAACACAACAGUGCAAUUCAUUAAGUUCAAAGUAAUUAUAAUAUACAUGAGAGAGGGAGAGUGAUGGAUGUUCUGUUGAAAGUGAUAAAAAAACACAAAAAUGACCAAUAACUCGGGCAAUCAAAGAAUCUUGUGAAAAUUUUCCUUUAUGCUUUUGCCUUUUAUCCCUCUUUUUAUCUUAUGGGGUGACAUUGAUCAGAGAUGCGCUUUGGGGGCAGCUUCCGCAAGAUGAAGAGCACCAGAGAAGAUGGUAAAAGCUCCACCAUCUGCAUAUAUUUACAAGGAAAAAAGGAAAAACAAGGAGAUGAAAGAAUAGAAAUGAUCAAAAUCUACAAGGACAAAAGUCUUGAGCUCAGAAUCAUUUAUCUGUUCAAAAUGGAAAGUUUCUCCCAAUAAUUCUUGAAUUUGAUGUUAAUCCAACAGGGCAUUUUCCAAGAAAAUCCUACUGGAAGUGUCCUAUUAGUUGUCUCACAAAUAGAUGCAUCUCUGCAGAACCUUGAUGAUACUAGUUCUUUUUUCUUUUUUAAAUUAAGAAACAUAUCAGCUGCAAGCUGCAGCCUGAAAUUAUGAAAAAUACUAUUUUUUGAGACAAAAAGGUCAAGGAAUCAUGUUUCUUCCCUAUGCAAGAACAAGAUACCUGAAAAUGGAGCAAGUGAGAUAACCCAAAUAAUAGUUAUAACAGUUGAACAUUUGCCAUUAGAGCUUGUUGUGAUGAUCAUUAGUCUAACUUGAUGUCAUUUUAUACAUUUAUCUUGAAUCUUGGUGUUCAGGUUGAUAUGAGCAUUGUCAAAAGUACAAGUUUAAGCAAACAGGAAUUUCUGCUGCCACUUCUUGUUUAUUUUGGUACAGGCAAGGAAGUAAAAAAUGCAAACACAAAGACUCCACUUACUUUAGGGGGCUGAAAGUUACCAUGUAAUAGAUAAGAUUGAGAAGGGGAUGAUAGAGGACAUCAAGAUCAGCUUUCUUGUCAAAUGCUGAGAUGGCAACCUAAAGCAUUUACAUACACAUAAAAUGUCUUCAUCAAAGAUGCAAGACUUUGAAGGUAAACUUCCAAUCAAAUGAAACUCACCAUGAAACAUCUAAUCAAAAAACAAGUACAGCAAAUUCCUGUCACACAACCAACCUCAUAAAGCUUCUUUUGACGACCUCUAGAUUCAAUGGGGAAUCGCCUUAGCAUGACAAACAACCUAAAAAGCAGAAAACAAAUCUAGUAAGCAUAUGCAUCACCUUAUGGAAUAUUGAAACUUCUUUAGUUUUGACAUCAACUGUUACCUCCCACCAUAUAACAAGAAUCCCACAGCAGUACAAAACGAAAUAACUGAAAAGAAGGAAUUUGCCAGUUCCUCCCCAGCAGGACUUCCACUAAAUCUUAUGUAUAGCCAGAUGCAUGCCUGUGUGAAGUAUACAAAUCCAUUGAUAAUAUAAUAAGCAGGCCUGAGGAUAUCAAUGGGAAGGCUUCUUGCCUGGUGAUAUAUCUCAGCCCAAAACAGAAUUAGUAAUGUAUAUGUCGAAAAGAAUAGAAGACUGGGAAGAUCCAAAAGCACAAUUGCAAGGGCCUUUGGUCUAAUAAGAAACACGUCCUUGUAUAGAACAAAAAGGAUAGCCCUCAGUCCAUUCACAACAAAAUUCAUCAAGUGGAAAACCUUUUGCGUUGUCCAUCCAUAUUCUGAUAGUCUCCAUUGGAUACGAAAAAGUUGUACCAGGGCAAUAAUGGAGAUCAAGGCAUAAGAUGCAGACAAGAAAUAGAAAAUGCCUCUUUGCCAUUCUUCUGAGUCAUCGAUCUCAUCCCACCAAUGGACUCCAUUUCCACUGUAAUAAUCCCAUCUCUCUCCAAUCUCAAAAAUUUUAGCUCUCAAACUCCAUUCCAUUGAUCACUAAUUGCUCUUAGCACAAUCUUUGCUGUGAGCUUUGGUUGCAAGGAGAUUACCGUGUUGCCAUUUGCAAAUUCUUGCCUUCAGUCUUUUUUUUCCCUCCCUUUUCUGUCCUUUUCCUUUCCCCCAAACAACCUUUUUAGACACCCCUUUUGCCUUGC
RNAcentral lists this unclassified non-coding RNA (2153 nucleotides) under Hevea brasiliensis (rubber tree). Lineage: Eukaryota; Viridiplantae; Streptophyta; Magnoliopsida; Malpighiales; Euphorbiaceae. The record is from RNAcentral.